Molecule: ribosomal RNA, 403 nt
Filed under: uncultured bacterium
Lineage: Bacteria
Description: partial 16S ribosomal RNA
Rfam family: Bacterial small subunit ribosomal RNA
Source: RNAcentral
AUUGAACGCUGGCGGCAGGCCUAACACAUGCAAGUCGAGCGAGCGGCGGACGGGUGAGUAAUGUAUGGGGACUGCCCGAUAGAGGGGGAUAACUACUGGAAACGGUGGCUAAUACCGCAUACUAUCGGAUAACCCAUAUGGGAUUAGCUAGUAGGUGGGUUAAAGGCUCACCUAGGCGACGACCUCUAGCUGGUCUGAGAGGAGGAUCAGCCACACUGGGACUGAGACACGGCCUAGGCUCCCAGGGAGGCAGCAGUGGGGAAUAUUGAACAGUGGGCGCAAGCCUGAGGAAGCCAUGCCGCGAGUAUGAAGAAGGCCUUAGGGUUGUAAAGUAAUUUCAGCGGGGAGGCGUUACCCGAAGAAGAAGCACCGGCUAAAUCCGUGCGAGCAGCCGCGGUAAUAC